UACGUAGGGUGCAAGCGUUAAUCGGAAUUACUGGGCGUAAAGCGUGCGCAGGCGGUUGUGCAAGACAGAUGUGAAAUCCCCGGGCUCAACCUGGGAAUUGCAUUUGUGACUGCACGGCUAGAGUAUGGCAGAGGGGGGUGGAAUUCCACGUGUAGCAGUGAAAUGCGUAGAGAUGUGGAGGAACACCGAUGGCGAAGGCAGCCCCCCUGGGCCAAUACUGACGCUCAUGCACGAAAGCGUGGGGAGCAAACAGG
RNAcentral lists this ribosomal RNA (254 nucleotides) under uncultured bacterium. Its description in RNAcentral is "partial 16S ribosomal RNA". It matches the Rfam family "Bacterial small subunit ribosomal RNA", at positions 524 to 776 of the family's 1533-position model. The record is from RNAcentral.